RNAcentral lists this ribosomal RNA (429 nucleotides) under Gemmatimonadota bacterium. RNAcentral's name for it is "Gemmatimonadetes bacterium partial 16S ribosomal RNA". It matches the Rfam family "Bacterial small subunit ribosomal RNA", at positions 355 to 776 of the family's 1533-position model. The record is from RNAcentral. Lineage: Bacteria; Pseudomonadati; Gemmatimonadota.
UAGGGAAUCUUCGGCAAUGGACGAAAGUCUGACCGAGCAACGCCGCGUGAGUGAAGAAGGUUUUCGGAUCGUAAAACUCUGUUGUUAGAGAAGAACAAGGACGUUAGUAACUGAACGUCCCCUGACGGUAUCUAACCAGAAAGCCACGGCUAACUACGUGCCAGCAGCCGCGGUAAUACGUAGGUGGCAAGCGUUGUCCGGAUUUAUUGGGUGUAAACCGAGCGCAGGCGGUUUCUUAAGGCUGAUGUGAAAGCCCCCGGCUCAACCGGGGAGGGUCAUUGGAAACUGGGAGACUUGAGUGCAGAAGAGGAGAGUGGAAUUCCAUGUGUAGCGGUGAAAUGCGUAGAUAUAUGGAGGAACACCAGUGGCGAAGGCGGCUCUCUGGUCUGUAACUGACGCUGAGGCUCGAAAGCGUGGGGAGCAAACAGG